UAAGACGAACCGUCCUAACGUUGUUCGGAAUCACUGGGCUUAAAGGGCGCGUAGGCGGACCACAAAGUCCGGGGUGAAAUCUUUCGGCUUAACCGGAAAAUUGCCUUGGAUACUGGUGGUCUCGAGGGAGGUAGGGGCAUGUGGAACUUCCGGUGGAGCGGUGAAAUGUGUUGAUAUCGGAAGGAACGCCGGUGGCGAAAGCGACGUGCUGGACCUCUUCUGACGCUGAGGCGCGAAAGCCAGGGGAGCAAACGGGAUUAGAUACCCCGGUAGUCCUGGCCCUAAACGAUGGGUACUAGGUUGCGGACUAGACAUGGGUUCGCAGCCGAAGCAAAAGUGCUAAGUACCCCGCCUGGGGAGUAUGGUCGCAAGGCUG
This 376-nucleotide ribosomal RNA is filed under the name uncultured bacterium. RNAcentral's name for it is "bacterial SSU rRNA". It matches the Rfam family "Bacterial small subunit ribosomal RNA", at positions 521 to 896 of the family's 1533-position model. The record is from RNAcentral.